AGCAACGCUCCAAAAUGAUGAGAAUUAUUCCAAGAACCGGUAUUUUAGGAAGAGCCGGAAGAGGUAUGGCAGGAAUUGUGAUUGAUUCGUCAAAAUUGAUCCGUCCUGUCGUCGAUGCUUAUAAAGGUUCUGCUGAGUGGAGUUUUACA
RNAcentral lists this small nucleolar RNA (149 nucleotides) under Aspergillus wentii DTO 134E9. Its description in RNAcentral is "A. fumigatus snoRNA Afu_198". It matches the Rfam family "A. fumigatus snoRNA Afu_198". The record is from Rfam by way of RNAcentral. Lineage: Eukaryota; Fungi; Ascomycota; Eurotiomycetes; Eurotiales; Aspergillaceae.